UACAGAGGGUGCAAGCGUUAAUCGGAAUUACUGGGCGUAGAGGGUGCGUAGGUGGAUAUAUAAGUCAGAUGUGAAAUCCCUGGGCUUAACUUAGGAACUGCAUUUGAUACUGUGUAUCUAGAGUAUGGUAGAGGUAAGUGGAAUUUCCGGUGUAGCGGUGAAAUGCGUAGAUAUCGGAAGGAACACCAGUGGCGAAGGCGACUUACUGGACUGAUACUGACACUGAGGCACGAAAGCGUGGGGAGCGAACAGG
Molecule: ribosomal RNA, 253 nt
Filed under: uncultured bacterium
Lineage: Bacteria
Description: partial 16S ribosomal RNA
Rfam family: Bacterial small subunit ribosomal RNA
Source: RNAcentral